Long non-coding RNA from Pseudoliparis swirei, 447 nucleotides. RefSeq lists it as uncharacterized. The transcript is spliced from 3 exons. NCBI's taxonomy places the organism in Eukaryota, Metazoa, Chordata, Actinopteri, Perciformes, Liparidae. The record is from RefSeq and is a predicted model, not a curated record.
GGAACAGAGUUAUAUUUCUGUGACUGAUGACACUGUUUGUUUCUUUCCUCUGUAAUUCAGGAUGUUCCAUCUGAUUGAAUUCUUGGACAGCAAAACAGUAGCAGUCGUGCCACAAAGCUGGUACAGUGGUGGUGGCUGCGUUUGGCCAGAUUACCCGAGGGAUGAAAGGGUGGACAAGGCGGUCCGAAGUGCCGAAGAACCUCAGCCUGACUGGCAGACACAUGAUGUCAGAAUAAUUAGAUCAUGCGAUGAUUACUUGGUGGCAAGGCGAUGGUUAACAAAAUAUAUGUCCUGUGACACAUCUGAUCUCCAUUCAGAACAGGAGGCAAUUCCUAAAAGGAGAAAGCCAAUGCCUGUCCAUUUCUUUGGGGACUCGGAUGCAGACAGCGAGACUGAAAAUCGCCACCCCAAAAAAAAAAGGGUCCAACCACUAGCAGGACAGUUGCC